UUGUCUCUCUUGAGUGGAUCCUGAGUACGACGGAGCACGUGAAAUUCCGUCGGAAUCUGGGAGGACCAUCUCCUAAGGCUAAAUACUCUCUAGUGACCGAUAGUGAACCAGUACCGUGAGGGAAAGGUGAAAAGCACCCCGGAAGGGGAGUGAAAUAGAACCUGAAACCGUGUGCUUACAAGUAGUCAGAGCCCGUUAAUGGGUGAUGGCGUGCCUUUUGUAGAAUGAACCGGCGAGUUACGAUUUGAUGCAAGGUUAAGCAGUAAAUGUGGAGCCGUAGCGAAAGCGAGUCUGAAUAGGGCGUUUAGUAUUUGGUCGUAGACCCGAAACCAGGUGAUCUACCCUUGGUCAGGUUGAAGUUCAGGUAA
This 368-nucleotide ribosomal RNA is filed under the name Staphylococcus aureus. RNAcentral's name for it is "partial 23S ribosomal RNA". It matches the Rfam family "Bacterial large subunit ribosomal RNA", at positions 388 to 759 of the family's 2925-position model. The record is from RNAcentral. Lineage: Bacteria; Bacillati; Bacillota; Bacilli; Caryophanales; Staphylococcaceae.